CUUGGCUAUUAUAUACAAGCAACAGGGAAAUUAUGCAGAAGCGAUAGCCUGUUACAAUGAAGUUCUUCGCAGACUGCUGCUGAUGGUCUUGUCAAUAGAGGGAACACAUUUAAGGAGAUUGGUAGAGUUACUGAAGCAAUUCAGGAUUAUAUACGUGCUGUGAAUAUCAAACCAACUAUGCCUGAAGCCCAUGCAAAUUUGGCUUCAGCUUACAAAGAUAGUUUACAAAUCUCAAGUACUC
Molecule: long non-coding RNA, 241 nt
Organism: Zingiber officinale
Lineage: Eukaryota; Viridiplantae; Streptophyta; Magnoliopsida; Zingiberales; Zingiberaceae
Exons: 3
Source: RefSeq, a predicted model, not a curated record